UGGAUCGAUGAUGAGAUCUGGUGGCGUAUGAGUCAUGGACGAUGAAUACGUGGCUUGAAUUCUGAGGUCCGU
Cynocephalus volans (Philippine flying lemur) is the source of this 72-nucleotide small nucleolar RNA. RefSeq annotates it as small nucleolar RNA SNORD113/SNORD114 family. The transcript has a single exon. NCBI's taxonomy places the organism in Eukaryota, Metazoa, Chordata, Mammalia, Dermoptera, Cynocephalidae. The record is from RefSeq and is a predicted model, not a curated record.